GCACAGUUAUGGUCUUUGUUCUCUGCUAGCAUUUGAAAAUGUCAUUUUAGGUUUCACGGGUUUGCUAAAUAAUUAUUGUGUUAUUGUCACUUGUUAGUUGCAAAGAUUUUAUCUCAAGAGGAUUGAAUUUUAAUCAUGUUAAUGUUGUUGGAAGAUUACAACCUGCCUGCCCACCAAAGAUCACAGCUGUUUAAUACUUUGACGGGAGACUGUUCCUUUUCUCUUGGCUUAAAAUUUGUUUUAAUUGCUAUGUAUUAUUUGUUUUCCAAACCUUUAGGUGCAGAUUUCCAACAUAUUCCUAUUGAAGUGAAAGCAACAGACACUCACUGGUCUCAUCCGGGGAGAAAGGAUUACCCACUGACUCGCCAGCUGUCGAAAAGGAUCUUCUGUGGUCCUGCCGCUGCGGAUGUCGGCGGCUAUUUCCCCCAGUUUAAUUUUGAGUUUGGCCAGGAAAGAUUCCAGGCUUUGCUGGAACAGCUGGAGCUUUUUUGAACCAUUCAGACGCCAUCACAGGAGAAAUUUGGGAACGAAGAGUCGGUGCAUCUUUGGCGUUUUCCAUCAACACCAACGGGUAGAGCGAAACGGUAACGGGCACUCCAAGAGGUUGAUUGUUAUCCAAAGGAUCUUUGUCCAUCCAAUCGGAUGCACAUCUCAAGAUUUUCUCGGCGAAUUCGAUGGCUCCUUCGUACGUAGUUGGAGGACUGUUGUCGAUGCAAUUGCCUUCGAUGUUGGGAUCCCCUUUAAGGUUUGGUGAAUGUGAAUGUUGCCGUGGCACCGUACUGGAUUUUCGUAACGACGUGAGUUGCGUAGGCGAUCCUGCCGGUUGUUUUAAUCAGCGGGUAACGCAAAUUACAUUCUUCAAGCUGUUCCAUGGUCAAUUCCUUGAAUGCGGUGUGAAGCAGAAGAGUCGCUUUAACACUUGUUUGUCCGAUGUCUGCAGCGAAAAUUCGGUGUGUGGAUUCCGGGAAGUUGUCACGUUUUUCAAAUCGAUUUCAUUCCAGAAAUCGAGUCCUAAUCAAUCAAUGGAAUGAUGUCCUCGUGAAUGGCAUCAUAAAGGGAACCCAGUUUGAACUUCCGUCCAAGGGCAGGCACUUGCAACCCGUUUCUACUUAUAUCGUCUCUACUGAACAUGAUAACGGACUGCGUGGACUGUAGCAAAUAAAUUUGGGAGUGAGACACAUCCGCUACGAUCGACCCUAUCCUGCCAGUCCACAGCAAACAGCGCCCUAAAGCCACGAA
Molecule: unclassified non-coding RNA, 1239 nt
Filed under: Daphnia pulicaria
Lineage: Eukaryota; Metazoa; Arthropoda; Branchiopoda; Diplostraca; Daphniidae
Description: uncharacterized LOC124349187, transcript variant X3
Source: RNAcentral